This 24-nucleotide non-coding RNA is filed under the name Arabidopsis thaliana (thale cress). Lineage: Eukaryota; Viridiplantae; Streptophyta; Magnoliopsida; Brassicales; Brassicaceae. The record is from RNAcentral. RNAcentral also lists the same sequence under 4 other names.
UCGAACCAUCUAGUAGCUGGUUCC